UACGUAGGUGGCAAGCGUUGUCCGGAUUUAUUGGGCGUAAAGAGCGCGUAGGCGGCCCGUUAAGUCGGAUGUGAAAACCCGUGGCUCAACCACGGGCCUGCAUCCGAUACUGGCGGGCUCGAGGCAGGCAGGGGAGAUCGGAAGUCCUGGUGUCAGGCGGUGAAAUGACGCAGAUAUCAGGAGGAACACCGGUGGCGAAGGCGGGUCUCUGGGCCGUAACUGACGCUGAGGAGCGAAAGCAUGGGGAGCGAACAGG
Molecule: ribosomal RNA, 256 nt
Filed under: uncultured bacterium
Lineage: Bacteria
Description: partial 16S ribosomal RNA
Rfam family: Bacterial small subunit ribosomal RNA
Source: RNAcentral